GCUGCUAAAAAAACAUGAAAUCACAGAGAAAGGGGGAGAAAAAGGAGAUAAUAAAAAGGAAGCAGAUCUCUUGUGGUAAAAGCGCAAGUAAAACGCAGCACAGCAGCGGCAACAAGCAGAUCUGCUUGCAGGAGGGUGAAAUUAAUUAGUGUUAGUUAGUGGGUUGGGUUGGGGGGGCUGUGCUGUGCAUGCAUAUAUGUGUGGUGAUCGAGAUCGCCUACCCGGCGCUGCCGAACUCGUAGAGCUUGCCGCGGCUGGAGAAGAUGAUGAGCGCGACCUCGGCGUCGCAGAGCACGGAGAGCUCGUAGGCCUUCUUGAGCAGGCCGUUGCGGCGCUUGGAGAAGGUGACCUGGCGGUUGAUCUUGUUCUCGAUCCGCUUGAGCUCAACUCGUCCCCUCCCCAUGGCGACGUACGAUCUCUAGCUUCCCUCCUUCCUUCGAUCGAGCUUGCUCUAUAUCUCACACACGGGCGUCUCUGUGUGCAGCGUGGUUGCUCUCCUCGUUUUGUGGCUGCUG
Molecule: unclassified non-coding RNA, 515 nt
Filed under: Zea mays
Lineage: Eukaryota; Viridiplantae; Streptophyta; Magnoliopsida; Poales; Poaceae
Description: misc RNA Zm00001eb250720
Source: RNAcentral